Molecule: ribosomal RNA, 490 nt
Filed under: uncultured bacterium
Lineage: Bacteria
Description: bacterial SSU rRNA
Rfam family: Bacterial small subunit ribosomal RNA
Source: RNAcentral
AUUAGAGUUUGAAUCAUGGCUCAGAAUCAACGCUGGCGGCGUGCCUCAGACAUGCAAGUCGAACGCGAAAUCUCCCUUCGGGGAGAGAGUAGAGUGGCGCACGGGUGAGUAACACGUAGGUAAUUUGCCUUCGGGUGGGGAAUAACAGCCGGAAACGGCUGCUAAUACCGCAUAAUGCAGCGGCUCGACAUCGAGACAAGUUGUUAAAGCGGGGGAUCGCAAGACCUCGCGCCUGAAGAGAAGCCUGCGGCGGAUUAGCUAGUUGGUAGGGUAAUGGCCUACCAAGGCGACGAUCCGUAACCGGCCUGAGAGGGCGGUCGGUCACACUGACACUGACAUACGGGUCAGACUCCUACGGGAGGCAGCAGUCGGGAAUUUUGGGCAAUGGGCGAAAGCCUGACCCAGCAACCCCGCGUGAAGGAUGAAAUCCCUCGGAUGUAACUUCGCAAGAAUGGGAAGAAUAAGUAGAAGCUAAUACCGUCUAUGAUGC